CACGGGUGAGUAACGCGUGGGUAACCUACCUCCGGCGGGGGAUAACUAUCCGAAAGGGUGGGCUAAUACCGCAUGAGACCACGAGCCUCCGGGCUUGAGGCCAAAGGUGCCGCAAGGUGCCACCUGGAGAUGGGCCCGCGUACGAUUAGCUAGUUGGUGGGGUAACGGCCUACCAAGGCUGCGAUCGUUAGCUGGUCUGAGAGGAUGAUCAGCCACACUGGAACUGGAACACGGUCCAGACUCCUACGGGAGCAGCAGUGAGGAAUAUUGCGCAAUGGGGGAAACCCUGACGCAGCAACGCCGCGUGGGUGAAGAAGGCCUUCGGGUCGUAAAGCCCUUUCGGACGGGACGAACGUCGGCCGGGGAUAAUCCGGUCGGCCUGACGGUACCGUAAGAAGAAGCACCGGCUAACUCCGUGCCAGCAGCCGCGGUAA
RNAcentral lists this ribosomal RNA (434 nucleotides) under uncultured delta proteobacterium. RNAcentral describes it as "bacterial SSU rRNA". It matches the Rfam family "Bacterial small subunit ribosomal RNA", at positions 100 to 523 of the family's 1533-position model. Lineage: Bacteria; Deltaproteobacteria. The record is from RNAcentral.